Long non-coding RNA from Perognathus longimembris pacificus (Pacific pocket mouse), 305 nucleotides. RefSeq lists it as uncharacterized. The transcript is spliced from 3 exons. The record is from RefSeq and is a predicted model, not a curated record. Lineage: Eukaryota; Metazoa; Chordata; Mammalia; Rodentia; Heteromyidae.
CUAAGGCCUCAUGCCUAUAAUCUUGGCUACUCAAGAGGCUGAGAUUUGAGAGCUGAGGUUCAGUGCCACCUGGCCAUACAAACUUUGGAGACUCUUAACUCCAUUUAACCAGCAAAAAGAAAGUUGUACGAUUCUAAUGGUAGAACAUCAGUCAUAAGUGAAAAGGCCGAGCAAGAGAGAAAGACCCUGAGUUCAAGCCUCAGUACCAACAUAACACAGACAAACAAAUUAGAGAAUAUUUUGCUGCUCACCAGAUGAGACUUUGGUCAAAGUAUACAUAAUGACAGGACAUGAGACUUUAUUCA